UACGUAGGGUGCAAGCGUUAAUCGGAAUUACUGGGCGUAAAGCGUGCGCAGGCGGCUUUGCAAGACAGAUGUGAAAUCCCCGGGCUCAACCUGGGAACUGCAUUUGUGACUGCAUGGCUGGAGUGCGGCAGAGGGGGAUGGAAUUCCGCGUGUAGCAGUGAAAUGCGUAGAUAUGCGGAGGAACACCGAUGGCGAAGGCAAUCACCUGGGCCGGCACUGACGCUCAUGCACGAAAGCGUGGGGAGCAAACAGG
RNAcentral lists this ribosomal RNA (253 nucleotides) under uncultured bacterium. Its description in RNAcentral is "partial 16S ribosomal RNA". It matches the Rfam family "Bacterial small subunit ribosomal RNA", at positions 524 to 776 of the family's 1533-position model. The record is from RNAcentral.